UACGAAGGGUGCUAGCGUUGUUCGGAAUCACUGGGCGUAAAGCGCGCGUAGGCGGCUUUGCAAGUCAGAGGUGAAAUACCCAGGCUCAACCUGGGAACUGCCUUUGAAACUGCAAAGCUAGAGUGUCGGAGGGGAUGGCGGAAUUGCUAAUGUAGAGGUGAAAUUCGUAGAUAUUAGCAGGAACACCGGUGGCGAAGGCGGCCAUCUGGACGACAACUGACGCUGAGGCGCGAAAGCGUGGGGAUCAAACAGG
Molecule: ribosomal RNA, 253 nt
Filed under: uncultured bacterium
Lineage: Bacteria
Description: partial 16S ribosomal RNA
Rfam family: Bacterial small subunit ribosomal RNA
Source: RNAcentral